UUUGAGCUUGGAACUUCAAGGUAACUAUUUUGCACAUCAUUCAUAAAGGACUAUGACAAUCAAAUAUUGUAAUUAUUAUGUCGAAUUUUGUGUCUGGUCAGAUUUCACUUCACUCUUUGCAAUGAAAAAUUUUAAACUUUGCUAUAGUCCGUUUUCAACAUUCAAAUUUUGUUCAUAAUUCAAAAACCAUGAUAAUUUUGAGUUCUCAUUUUGAGACUCACCAUAGGUUGCAUUACUUGAUAUGUUCUCAAUAUAAUAUAAAACUUGCCUAUCUAUCAAUUUAGAAGCCUUUUACAAGCAAAUAUGCUCCUCUACAAAGCUUUGGAUUACUUUAUAUUGAAUCUGAAUCAACAAAUUACAUCAUCUAAAAUUACUUGAUGAUAAUGUCAACUAUUUAUCAAAUUAAACUAUGCUUUGUUUUCAAAGAAAUCAAUUUAUACAUGUCUAAAUUUCCA
This 455-nucleotide long non-coding RNA is filed under the name Physcomitrium patens. RNAcentral's name for it is "long non-coding RNA (PPAT_LNC002266)". Lineage: Eukaryota; Viridiplantae; Streptophyta; Bryopsida; Funariales; Funariaceae. The record is from RNAcentral.